CGACAGCCACUUAACCGAACCAAAACUCUGCUGCAAAAUAGACGCCUCGGAACAAGCCAACUUCCGGUCCCGUCCUGCCUUAUCAACUACUGUUAGUGUACCAAGACACGUUUCCUUACACAAACAUGCCCCAACAUUGGAUCGUCGUAUAACCACAUGACUGUCUUCGUCACUCGACCUUUCUACUAAAGCCUUGAUCACCAUCGCCCUGGACUACUCUGGCAGUGGCAGUUAACAAGGAAACACUUUGCCUUCAUUGCAUGUAAUCGACUGUAAUCAUUACAGAAGAAAUCUGCUUGGUGAUCGUAGAGACUGGCCACGAACACCAGAGUGCUGGACGUCCUGUACGUGCCGU
Ornithodoros turicata is the source of this 355-nucleotide long non-coding RNA. RefSeq lists it as uncharacterized. The record is from RefSeq and is a predicted model, not a curated record. NCBI's taxonomy places the organism in Eukaryota, Metazoa, Arthropoda, Arachnida, Ixodida, Argasidae. The transcript has 3 exons.